CAGUAGCCGCGGUAAUACAGAGGCCUCAAGCGUUGUUCGGAUUCAUUGGGCGUAAAGGGUGCGUAGGUGGCUUGGUAAGUUGAAGGUGAAAUCUCGGGGCUUAACCCCGAAACUGCCUUCAAUACUGCUAGGCUCGAGGACUGUAGAGGAGAAUGGAAUUCACGGUGUAGCAGUGAAAUGCGUAGAUAUCGUGAGGAAGACCAGUGGCGAAGGCGAUUCUCUGGGCAGUUCCUGACACUGAGGCACGAAGGCCAGGGGAGCAAACGGGAUUAGAGACCCCUGUAGUCCCUGUCUCUUAUAC
RNAcentral lists this ribosomal RNA (301 nucleotides) under uncultured bacterium. Its description in RNAcentral is "partial 16S ribosomal RNA". It matches the Rfam family "Bacterial small subunit ribosomal RNA", at positions 509 to 807 of the family's 1533-position model. The record is from RNAcentral.